AUUUGCAUGUUAUUUGAUAGAGAAUCGAAAGACGCACCUCUUGAUCAAUCAGAAACAAUGAUUUGAACCAAUUAAUGCAUUUUGUUUUGAAAACAAAUACACAGCGUAUCUCCGUGUCGCGGGAAUCGUCAUGAAAACAGCGGGUAAGUCAGUUUACUUUCGUAUUGUAACAGAUAACAAAUUGUGCUCUUAAGAAAUACAUUGUAAAUUAAGAUAGCAAUGCACCAUGAAUUACGAAAGCAGUGAUGAUGAAGAAAUCGCUUACCUAUACUAGGACUAAAAAUACCAUUGAAAGAGAAAAAUGAAAAUAUCACCUCCAAUGAAAACUUGGAAAACCUAGACAUUAACAAUUUGCCUGUUGUUAUAAUUCCAGAUAAUGAUAAUAUAAGCGGCGAGGUGAGUUUACAAGAUCUUUCCAAAUGCCAUGUAACGAUGGAAGAAACUACAGUUCACUCGCCUCUGUUACCAUCGAAUUUCGAACCUGUUGAUAUUAACUUUGGACAAACAAGUGUGAUACCGAUUGCGAGUCCCUUGCUAGUGGAUGACGAGGUCGAACAUGGUGAUCUUAACUCUGGGCGAAAAAGAUGUUCUAAGGGAUGCCCAAGGUCAAAGCUUUAUAACAAUCAUCAAAAAAUAAAUGAAUCUUAAUGGAAACAUCUUCAAGAACUAAAGUCAGUUAUACCCCCUGACUGUCACAAUUUUUACGAUACUUUACUUCACUUACUUCACAAGAAUCUCAUACAAUUCUUGCGAUUAAAUUAGUUUAAUCACUACUUAAAUUUAAAUUUCUUUUCGUGCAACUCGGCGUAAGAUUAUUAAUGACUAAUUUAUGAUGCAUUUUUGUUAUUUUUAAUAUUUUCAUAAAGUAGGGCAGAUUUCGCAUUUAAGUAAUACUGAUGUUCCUUUUUAUUUGAUUUUAUACCAAAUAAGCAUCAAAGUAAAAAAAAUAGUGUAAUAAAGCUAAUUUGUUAAUUAUUUAUAACGAAAAGUUUAUAAAAUCUGUUAAGAAUUUUGUAGAAGUAUCUUUAAUGUUUGUAAUUUUGUAGGAGGUAAAAUUCUACCCGUUAUUUUAAUUUUAGUGGAAAUAAAUAUUUAAAAAUAUUUACAGAGUAUUUAUCAUGUAUUUAUAAUAACUCAGCGUAAGUCUCGCCAUUUUUAACCGACUUCCAAAAAAGAAGGAGGUUCUCAAUUCGACUGUAUUUUUUUUAAUGUAUG
Molecule: unclassified non-coding RNA, 1215 nt
Filed under: Melitaea cinxia (Glanville fritillary)
Lineage: Eukaryota; Metazoa; Arthropoda; Insecta; Lepidoptera; Nymphalidae
Description: misc RNA ENSMCXG00005010417.1
Source: RNAcentral